CAGUAGCCACGGUAAUACAGAGGGUGCGAGCGUUAAUCGGAUUUACUGGGCGUAAAGCGUGUGUAGGUUGUUGUUCAAGUCAGUUGUGAAAUCCCUGGGCUCAACCUGGGAACUGCUUCUGAGACUGAACGACUAGAGUACGGUAGAGGGUGGUGGAAUUUCCGGUGUAGCGGUGAAAUGCGUAGAUAUCGGAAGGAACAUCAAUGGCGAAGGCAGCCACCUGGGCCUGUACUGACACUGAGACACGAAAGCGUGGGGAUCAAACAGGAUUAGAUACCCCUGUAGUCCCUGUCUCUUAUAC
This 301-nucleotide ribosomal RNA is filed under the name uncultured bacterium. RNAcentral describes it as "partial 16S ribosomal RNA". It matches the Rfam family "Bacterial small subunit ribosomal RNA", at positions 509 to 807 of the family's 1533-position model. The record is from RNAcentral.